GUACCAUCUUGCAUUCCCACCAGCAAUAUAUGAGAGUUCAUGUUCUGCACCCUCAGUAGCACUUGAUAUUGUCAGAUUAAAAAAAAAAUUCAGACAUUUUAAUAGGCAUGAUGUGAUAGCCGAUCAUGGUUUUAAUCUACAUUAUCCUACUGGUAAAUGAUGCUGAGCAUUUUCUCGUGUGCUUAUUUCUCAUCCUUAUCUCCCCUUGGAUAAAGUGUCUGCUUAAUUCUUUCAUCUGUGUUUUAAACUGUGUUGUUUUCUUGAUAUGGUUUACCUGUGUUCCCACCCAGAUCUCAUCUUGAAUUGUAAUCCCCGUAAUCCCCAUGUGUCAAGGAAGAGACCCUGUGGGAGGUGAUUAGGUCAUGGGGGUGGUUUCCCCCAUGUUGUUCUCAUGAUCCUGAGUGAAUUUUCAUGAGAUCUGCUCGUUUUAUAAAUGGUAAUUUUUCCUGUGUUCUCCCAGGCUUGCCCUCUCUCACCUGCUGCCAUGUAAGAUGUGCCUGCUUCACCUUCCGCCAUGAUUGUCAGUUUCCUGAGGCCUCCCCAGCCAUGUGGAACUCUCUGUCUUUUCCAGAAUAUCAUAUAAAUGGAAUCACACGAUAGGCAGCCUUUUGAGUCUGGCUUCUUUGACUGAACAGAAUGCAUUCAAGGAUGUGAGAAGAAGAAAGGAGGGGGGAGAGGAGGAGAAAAGGACGUGCAUCAUCUGAAAAUGAAGGGUGUUCUUUAAAGCAGCAAAGUUAGCUCAACAAAACUUAUUGUGCUUUAUCAUGGGGAACUGACAUAGCAGAAAGUGGAACCAACGGUAAGGGGGGACUACUGUAACUAUGGAGGAAUAAGGACAAGAAUUACAGCAGACGUCUCAACAGAAACCAUGCAAGCCAGAGACAACGGAGUGAGAUUUUUAAAGUGUUGAAAGAAAAAAACUGUCAAAACAGAUUUCUACAUCCAGGAGAAAUAUCUUUCAAAUGUGAAAAACAAAUAAAUACUUUUGUGUACCAACAUAAACUGAGGAAGUUCAGUAAUAUUUCCUACUUUACUGGAAAUAUUAAAGGUAGUUCUUCAAACAAAGAAUUUGUUUGGAACUUAGAUCUGCAUACAGGACAUAAAUGAAGGGAAAUAUGCUUUAUCAUAUUUCUCGCUGUAAAAUAUACUUUAUCAUAUUUUCUUGCUAUAACAAGUAACUUGACUGUUUAAAGUAAUAAUAACCAUAUAUUAUAUGGUUAUGGUGUAUGUAAGAGUAAGAUGAGUUACAAUGAUAGUGCAAAAGAUGAGAAGAAAGAAUUGGGAAACACUGUUGUAAGAUCUUACAUUACAUGUGUGGCAACACUGUUAUUUGAAGGUGGACUUAGAUUAUUUAAAAUUGUAUAUUAUAAAACCUAGGGCAAUCACUACAAGUGUUAACAACACAAAAUGUGUAAAAAUCAAUUGACUAUAUUUAUGUAGGUCUAGUUCGGGGCUUUCUCUUCUAUUUCAUUGAUCUAUGUGUCUAUCCUUUUGCUACUGUCUUUAUUACUAUAUCUUUAUAAUAAUCCCAGCACUUUGGGAGACCAAGGUGGGCAGAUCAUGAGGUCAAGAGAUCGAGACCAUCCUGGCCAACAUGGUGAAACCCCAUCCCUACUAAAAAUACAAAAAUUAGCUGGGCAUGGUGGCACAUGCCUGUAGUCCCAGCUAUUCAGGAGGCUGAGGCAGGAGAAUUGCUUGAACCCAGGAGGUGGAGGUUGCAGUGAGCCAAGAUCACACCACUGCUCUCCAGCCUGGCAAUAGAGUGAGACUUUGUCUCAAAAAAAUAAAAAUAAAAAUAAAAAAUAAAAAAUAAAAAAAUUUUAAAUAAAAG
This 1831-nucleotide long non-coding RNA is filed under the name Homo sapiens (human). Its description in RNAcentral is "HSALNT0224674". Lineage: Eukaryota; Metazoa; Chordata; Mammalia; Primates; Hominidae. The record is from RNAcentral.